Helicoverpa zea (corn earworm) is the source of this 969-nucleotide long non-coding RNA. RefSeq lists it as uncharacterized. Lineage: Eukaryota; Metazoa; Arthropoda; Insecta; Lepidoptera; Noctuidae. The transcript has 2 exons. The record is from RefSeq and is a predicted model, not a curated record.
UGUCCUGGAAGAAAUUAACUUAUUAUCAUCACUAUUAUUUUCAUGUCGAAACGUAGAUGUUUAUUAAAGAUCAUCAGUUUUCACGGGCCAAAGCUGUGCUGAUUACGAUAAAACUAAAUAAAAUGGUUUUGCAGAUGUCUUAAAGUAGAGGAAUGUCGUAGCUCAACAAUAGGGUUGUAUAUUUUUAUAUUCAUUCACUUAGAAAUUUCAUAAUUACGACCUAUUUUGAAUACCAACAGUAAAACGGAACACGACGACAUUGAAAAACAAGGCUAUGGUCGCGUUCAAGAACGUUUGCAAGGCCAUGGCCGUAAAAUGAACAGCCUUGUCGCUGAAAAUGAUUUACAAACUCUUUGGAGGCCACUCAGCGUUACCUUGCGAAUUCAUGUGGCCUUUGAUAACAACAUAAGUAUUUGUUAGAGUACUAAAACGCGCAGUCAUUAUGAGUUUUGUAUUAAUAGAUUUUUACUUUGAGUACGAUAUGAUUGAUUAUUAAUAAACUUAUCUUUCUUUAAAAUGUGUCAUUAAAUUACAAAGAUAUUAUGACAACUAAACGCAAGUUUCAGAGGGGUCAGAUAAAUGAACUAAACUUGUUUGUUAGUUUUUAGGCAACCACUUUUCCAGAGAAUUGCGUAGGUACCUAUUACUGCCACGUUUCAAUUAGGACUAGUAGUUCCUGAGAUUAGCGCGUUCGUGUAAACAAACAAGCAAACUCUUUCGUUUUUAAUAUUAUAAAGAUUAGAGCGAGCUAAGAGAACUGCUUCAAAUAAACAAAAGUAAACAGUGACAAAAUGUUUGGAUUAAAAAAAAAAUACUGACCUAAUGCUUUUUCGUGAUCCACAGUUGUGGCUGAUAGAGUAGGGGUCAUCUUUUUAGGCACCACUAUGAAAUGUACGGGCGCCUGUUUGUUUCUCUGUUCAUCAAAUACUAUGCACUGAAAAAAAAUACAAAGUUGAUUUUAUAAGAGAA